RNAcentral lists this ribosomal RNA (256 nucleotides) under uncultured bacterium. Its description in RNAcentral is "partial 16S ribosomal RNA". It matches the Rfam family "Bacterial small subunit ribosomal RNA", at positions 524 to 777 of the family's 1533-position model. The record is from RNAcentral.
UACAGAGGUCCCGAGCGUUUGUUCGGAUUUAUUGGGCGUAAAGGGUGCGUAGGCGGCGGAGUAAGUUGGGUGUGAAAUCCCGGGGCUCAACCUCGGAAUGGCAUUCAAUACUGCUUCGCUAGAGUACUGGAGAGGAGGCUGGAAUUUACGGUGUAGCAGUGAAAUGCGUAGAUAUCGUAAGGAAGGCCGGUGGCGAAAGCGAGCCUCUGGACAGUUACUGACGCUGAUGCACGGAGGCCAGGGGGAGCAAAACGGG